AAGACUAUAGACCUGCGGAGUACCUGCGGAAGGAUCAUUACCGAGUUUUCAACUCCCUAACCCUUCUGUGAACCUACCUAUCGUUGCUUCGGCGGACUCGCCCCAGCCCGGACGCGGACUGGACCAGCGGCCCGCCGGGGACCUCAAACUCUUGUAUUCCAGCAUCUUCUGAAUACGCCGCAAGGCAAAACAAAUGAAUCAAAACUUUUAACAAUGGAUCUCUAGAUCGGAAGAGCACAC
RNAcentral lists this unclassified non-coding RNA (240 nucleotides) under soil metagenome. RNAcentral describes it as "partial contains 5.8S ribosomal RNA, internal transcribed spacer 2, and large subunit ribosomal RNA". The record is from RNAcentral.